This 256-nucleotide ribosomal RNA is filed under the name uncultured bacterium. RNAcentral describes it as "partial 16S ribosomal RNA". It matches the Rfam family "Bacterial small subunit ribosomal RNA", at positions 524 to 776 of the family's 1533-position model. The record is from RNAcentral.
UACGGAGGGGGCUAGCGUUGUUCGGAAUUACUGGGCGUAAAGCGCACGUAGGCGGCUUUGUAAGUUAGAGGUGAAAGCCCGGGGCUCAACUCCGGAAUUGCCUUUUAAGACUGCAUCGCUAGAAUUGUGGAGAGGUAAGUGGAAUUCCGAGUGUAGAGGUGAAAUUCGUAGAUAUUCGGAAGAACACCAGUGGCGAAGGCGACUUACUGGACACAUAUUGACGCUGAGGUGCGAAAAGCGUGGGGGAGCAAACAGG